This 264-nucleotide ribosomal RNA is filed under the name uncultured bacterium. RNAcentral describes it as "partial 16S ribosomal RNA". It matches the Rfam family "Bacterial small subunit ribosomal RNA", at positions 793 to 1055 of the family's 1533-position model. The record is from RNAcentral.
GUCCUAGCUGUAAACGGUGCGUAUUUGCUGUAAGUGGAUUCGACCCCACUUGUGGCGUAGCCAACGCGUUAAAUACGCCGCCUGGGAAGUACGGUCGCAAGAUUAAACUCAAAGAAUUGACGGGGCCUGCACAAGCGGUGGAGUAUGUGGCUCAAUUCGAUGCAACGCGAAGAACCUUACCUGGCCUUGACAUGCAUAUAGUAGAAGCCCGAAAGGGCGACGAGGUAGCAAUACCAGUAUGCACAGGUGCUGCAUGGCUGUCGU